GUACUUACCUGGAGGUACCAUGAUCAGGAAGGUGGUUUCCCAGGGCGAGGCCUAGCCAUUGCACUCCAGAUGUGCUGACCCCUGUGACUUCUCAAGUGCGGGAAACUCGACUACAUGAUUUGUGGUGGCGGAGGACUGCGUUCGCACUCUCCCCUG
Small nuclear RNA from Eptesicus fuscus (big brown bat), 156 nucleotides. RefSeq annotates it as U1 spliceosomal RNA. The transcript has a single exon. The record is from RefSeq and is a predicted model, not a curated record. NCBI's taxonomy places the organism in Eukaryota, Metazoa, Chordata, Mammalia, Chiroptera, Vespertilionidae.